RNAcentral lists this long non-coding RNA (320 nucleotides) under Sorghum bicolor (sorghum). RNAcentral's name for it is "long non-coding RNA (SBIC_LNC012293)". Lineage: Eukaryota; Viridiplantae; Streptophyta; Magnoliopsida; Poales; Poaceae. The record is from RNAcentral.
CCCCCACUUUGGACAACAUCUGAAAAAGUUUUUAUUCUUAAAGCAAGAUUCCCUGUCUAUAGUUGAAUUUAAAUUUUGAUGUGCUUUAGGUGGUGUCGGCCAACCCCCACAUAGGGUGUGCUCCACUUGCCCUUCUACCCCUAUAAAUACAUAUGCAUUGUGAGCUCAACUCCACAACUAGACCAGCAGAAUCAUCUCGAGCUCACAGUCUCUCUUCUUAUCUCCUUUGUUGCAAGUUCUCGCUCAAGUUUAGUCUAGUAGUAGCAUCCCAAAAAAAUAAAACCAAAAAAUAUUUGCCCCUUUUCCCUUCCAUAGUAGUA